RNAcentral lists this ribosomal RNA (1861 nucleotides) under Staphylococcus aureus. RNAcentral's name for it is "partial 23S ribosomal RNA". It matches the Rfam family "Bacterial large subunit ribosomal RNA", at positions 513 to 2378 of the family's 2925-position model. Lineage: Bacteria; Bacillati; Bacillota; Bacilli; Caryophanales; Staphylococcaceae. The record is from RNAcentral.
GGUGAAAAGCACCCCGGAAGGGGAGUGAAAUAGAACCUGAAACCGUGUGCUUACAAGUAGUCAGAGCCCGUUAAUGGGUGAUGGCGUGCCUUUUGUAGAAUGAACCGGCGAGUUACGAUUUGAUGCAAGGUUAAGCAGUAAAUGUGGAGCCGUAGCGAAAGCGAGUCUGAAUAGGGCGUUUAGUAUUUGGUCGUAGACCCGAAACCAGGUGAUCUACCCUUGGUCAGGUUGAAGUUCAGGUAACACUGAAUGGAGGACCGAACCGACUUACGUUGAAAAGUGAGCGGAUGAACUGAGGGUAGCGGAGAAAUUCCAAUCGAACCUGGAGAUAGCUGGUUCUCUCCGAAAUAGCUUUAGGGCUAGCCUCAAGUGAUGAUUAUUGGAGGUAGAGCACUGUUUGGACGAGGGGCCCCUCUCGGGUUACCGAAUUCAGACAAACUCCGAAUGCCAAUUAAUUUAACUUGGGAGUCAGAACAUGGGUGAUAAGGUCCGUGUUCGAAAGGGAAACAGCCCAGACCACCAGCUAAGGUCCCAAAAUAUAUGUUAAGUGGAAAAGGAUGUGGCGUUGCCCAGACAACUAGGAUGUUGGCUUAGAAGCAGCCAUCAUUUAAAGAGUGCGUAAUAGCUCACUAGUCGAGUGACACUGCGCCGAAAAUGUACCGGGGCUAAACAUAUUACCGAAGCUGUGGAUUGUCCUUUGGACAAUGGUAGGAGAGCGUUCUAAGGGCGUUGAAGCAUGAUCGUAAGGACAUGUGGAGCGCUUAGAAGUGAGAAUGCCGGUGUGAGUAGCGAAAGACGGGUGAGAAUCCCGUCCACCGAUUGACUAAGGUUUCCAGAGGAAGGCUCGUCCGCUCUGGGUUAGUCGGGUCCUAAGCUGAGGCCGACAGGCGUAGGCGAUGGAUAACAGGUUGAUAUUCCUGUACCACCUAUAAUCGUUUUAAUCGAUGGGGGGACGCAGUAGGAUAGGCGAAGCGUGCGAUUGGAUUGCACGUCUAAGCAGUAAGGCUGAGUAUUAGGCAAAUCCGGUACUCAUUAAGGCUGAGCUGUGAUGGGGAGAAGACAUUGUGUCUUCGAGUCGUUGAUUUCACACUGCCGAGAAAAGCCUCUAGAUAGAAAAUAGGUGCCCGUACCGCAAACCGACACAGGUAGUCAAGAUGAGAAUUCUAAGGUGAGCGAGCGAACUCUCGUUAAGGAACUCGGCAAAAUGACCCCGUAACUUCGGGAGAAGGGGUGCUCUUUAGGGUUAACGCCCAGAAGAGCCGCAGUGAAUAGGCCCAAGCGACUGUUUAUCAAAAACACAGGUCUCUGCUAAACCGUAAGGUGAUGUAUAGGGGCUGACGCCUGCCCGGUGCUGGAAGGUUAAGAGGAGUGGUUAGCUUCUGCGAAGCUACGAAUCGAAGCCCCAGUAAACGGCGGCCGUAACUAUAACGGUCCUAAGGUAGCGAAAUUCCUUGUCGGGUAAGUUCCGACCCGCACGAAAGGCGUAACGAUUUGGGCACUGUCUCAACGAGAGACUCGGUGAAAUCAUAGUACCUGUGAAGAUGCAGGUUACCCGCGACAGGACGGAAAGACCCCGUGGAGCUUUACUGUAGCCUGAUAUUGAAAUUCGGCACAGCUUGUACAGGAUAGGUAGGAGCCUUUGAAACGUGAGCGCUAGCUUACGUGGAGGCGCUGGUGGGAUACUACCCUAGCUGUGUUGGCUUUCUAACCCGCACCACUUAUCGUGGUGGGAGACAGUGUCAGGCGGGCAGUUUGACUGGGGCGGUCGCCUCCUAAAAGGUAACGGAGGCGCUCAAAGGUUCCCUCAGAAUGGUUGGAAAUCAUUCAUAGAGUGUAAAGGCAUAAGGGAGCUUGACUGCGA